GGAUUUUGGCAUCAUUGGAAACGUUGUGCUUUGUGAUCCUUUUCAUUUAUUUUCAUGAUUAGUUCUUAUAGGUUAGGGGCUCCAAAGCGCCAACGUUUAUUUACAUUUUUUAUUAUUUCAUUGUCAUUUUUCUUUAACCGGAAACACGCCCCUCACCCCCAAGACCCCUCUUCACUACUUCCUCUACGUAUUGGACGUUUGAGAUGCGGGCAGGAGAGGAGGACCACGGCUCUUUAUGAUAAACCUUUUUUUUUUUUUUUUAAAUAAACGUUCAUUUAAUAUCUACUUUAAUUCAAUUUCGUAAUAACUCAAUACCGGCUAGCGUCUUCCUAGGCUUGUCUCGGCUUGUUUUGGAAACCUCCGGCAGCAAGAAACAAAACGCAAAACAGGGUUGUUGGUGCUCAUCUGGAGAAAUGGUGCCGGCUGUCCUGAAGCUCUACUUCUUCGGGAGCGCUGUGGCCAUCUUCGCCUUCCUCUUCAGCCUGGGCGACUCCGUCGGUGGCCUGAUGUACGUCCACGACAACCGCUGGAUCCUGGACGCGGAAAGAGAUCCCGCGCUGAGGCAUCGUGGGAAAUCUUCUGCGACCUCGCACCUGGAUUACUGACAAGGGGGUGCGGUAGUGAGAAAAUGUCUGCCGGAUGCACUUUCUGGAACUGUGGCAGCUUAAAAAAUGGGUCGAAAGAGCACUACUGAAACUUGUUGAGCCGACGACAGACUUGCACCGCCAUGUGUCAUGCAACCUCGCCCCUCGGGGCUGCAAGCUGCAUUGAAAACUUUCAGAAUCAAUAUUUUAGUGUAAUGGUCUCGUGAUUAAAAAUAAAUCACGUUCACUGGGAAGGCUGGCCUCUCUGGCAAUUGUUGG
This is a long non-coding RNA of Syngnathoides biaculeatus (alligator pipefish), 863 nucleotides long. RefSeq lists it as uncharacterized. The record is from RefSeq and is a predicted model, not a curated record. NCBI's taxonomy places the organism in Eukaryota, Metazoa, Chordata, Actinopteri, Syngnathiformes, Syngnathidae. The transcript is spliced from 2 exons.